AUAUUUUAUAAGAUUUCUAGAUAGCUCGGGUGCAUUUCCAGAACAACGAGCUAUGGCUGCUUUUGUUCUGGCUGUCAUAGUGGACGGACACCGACGAGGCCAGGAAGCAUGUCUUGAAGCAAAUUUGAUUGGUGUUUGUCUGGGGCACCUUGAAGCAUCGAUACCAAGUGAUCCACAGCCAGAACCAUUGUUUUUACAAUGGCUUUGUCUUUGUCUUGGAAAGUUGUGGGAAGAUUUUAUGGAGGCCCAAAUAAUGGGCAGGGAGGCAAAUGCUUUUCAAAAAUUGGCACCUCUGGUUUCCGAGCCCCAACCUGAGGUGAAGCCCAGAUUUCUUCAUAUUAUCCUUCUUUUAGUAGUGUAGUUGCUGACCAUAACAAUCCCUUGCAGGUAAGGGCUGCUGCUGUUUUUGCCCUGGGUACCUUAGUUGAUAUUGGGUUUGACUCUAGUAAAAGUGUUGUGGACGAUGAAUUUGAUGAUGAUGAAAAGAUUAGAGCAGAAGAAGCUAUCAUUAAAAGUCUCUUAGAUGUUGUCUCAGAUGGGAGUCCACUUGUCCGGGCAGAGGUUGCUGUAGGUACGCAAAGCAUGCAACUCUUGAACAUUCAUGAUCUUUGGACUAUGGGUACCUAAAUAGUUAUUUAACUUCAAAGCUAAAAUAUUCUAACCUAAUGAGAUUAUUUUAAAUUAGAUACGUCUCUCCUACCUUUUAUUUAUUGAUUUACCUUUUACUGAAUUUGAAUAACUCCAAUUUACAUAGGCAUCUAAUUUUUUUGUUGCGUUAGCUAGAGAGCCUGAUAGUUUCUAACUCAAUACAACCUCGAAACCAUAUUGUUCUUCGCUUAGAAAGUUCAUAUAUAAUUUUGUGCAAUUUCCAAUGUCUUUUUCAUUCUGCAUGUACAUCUUGAAGCGAGCUUGCUUACUUUUAUUUCUUUCCUAUUUGAUCCCCAAGUCUUAUCUCUUGUUAAUGUUUCUACAGCUCUUGCACGUUUUGCCUUCGGCCACAAACAGCACCUAAAGUCAGCCGCAUCUUCAUAUUGCAAGCCUCAGUCAAGUUCUUUGCUUACUUCGCUCCCUUCAAUAGCUAAACUCCAUGAUGCUGGGAGUGCAAAACUUGUUUCUUUACACAUGAGUCCUCUGACUAGAGCUAGCACUGAUAGCCAACCAGUGGCUCGUGAGGCCAAGAUCUCAAGCAGCCCUCUUGGCUCGGCUGGGCUGAUGAAUGGAUCUCCAUUAUCUGAUGAUUCUUCGUUACAUUCUGAUUCUGGAAUCAUGCUUGACAGUGUCAGCAAUGGAGCUGGCCAUCACCAAAGACUAUUGGACAAUGCUGUUUAUUCGCAGUGCAUUCGAGCUAUGUUUGCCUUAGCUAGAGACCCAUCUCCACGUAUUGCAAGUCUCGGGCGGCGUGUGCUUUCUAUCAUUGGAAUCGAACAAGUUGUUGCGAAAUCCUCGAAGCCCACUGGCCGACUAGGGGAAGCCGCAACGACAUCUAACACUCCUCUUACUGGCCUAGCUCGUUCAUCCUCAUGGUUUGAUAUGCAUGCAGGUAGCUGUUCAUGGAGUGAAAUUUCUGAAAGUUGUGCUUAAUUCAGGAAAUUGUCCUUUAUUGAGUGUUUGUAAAUUUGAUCUUGAUCUCCGAACCUCGCCCCAAUCGUGACAAUAACUCUAGGGCCGAGCGAUUCGAUUUUGAGGGAUUUGGGGUGUUUGAUUCUUCUCUGGUGUGUUCUCCGAUUUGGAUGGCAUUGGGAGACUUAAUGGUAUCUCGGUUCUCGCAAUCCUCAGUUUCUCUGGCUUCCAGUCACCGCUACGACGACGACUGUGUCUCCUCCAGUCAAGGUGAUUCCUCGCGGAGGAAAGAUUCCGAUGCUACGAGUAGUAUCUACGGAAAUGGCACGGCGGAGAGAGCCUCCGCUACCAGCAUGGCGUACUUGCCUCAGACUAUCGUCCUCCGGGAGCUUAGGCACGACGCGUCCGAGGCGUCUGCGCUUUUGGGGACUUCCGAGGGGAUUGUGUUGGCUCCUAAAUGGCGGCUUAAAGAGCGAGUAAGUUUGUGAUGGGACUUUGUUUUAGAUUUUGGAUUGAUCGUAGUGCAGUUGAGGAUGAAAGAGGAGCAUAGGGCAACUACAUUCUCUAGAAUGUUUGUAAAACAGUCUGCUAUUUUGUUUACCUACUAGGUUGGGUGAUGUUAACCGAUGAAGUUUUUAUUUUGGAGACGGAAAGUUAAAAAAUUGGCAACAUGAUACACGUUUUCACUAGAGUUCCAAUGUCUCCUUGGAAAAAAAAUAUAAUUUUUCCCAGCAUAAGCUGAAUCAGGCAUUUAUUGGAUAUGUUUGCUAGGUGAUUUCUUGCUAAUCUCAUGUUGUUUUCUGGCUUUUAUUCUUUGUCUUUGCAGAUGAAAACAGGAUGUGUAGCUCUAGUUCUGUGUUUAAACAUUACUGUUGAUCCGCCGGAUGUUAUAAAGAUAUCUCCUUGUGCAAGAAUCGAGGCUUGGAUAGGUUGAGCCCCUAUUACACUCCUUCUUUUGUGUGUCUAUACUUUGUCGUUGUCGCGACAAUCAAUUUUCAUUCUCUUUUAUUUGAUGGCAGACCCAUUUUCCAUGGCGCCGCCAAAAGCUCUCGAGACUAUUGGACAAAACUUGAGCACUCAGUAUGAAAGAUGGCAACCAAGGGUGAAUAUUUGUUGCCCUGCACCCUAUCGUUAUUGUUUUGUUAAUUUGCGUUUUUCAUGUUUAUAUUGUUAUCUCUCUCAGGCUCGAUAUAAGGUUCAGUUAGAUCCGACGGUAGACGAAGUCAGGAAGCUGUGCUUGACUUGUCGGAAAUAUGCAAAGACCGAGAGGGUUCUAUUCCAUUAUAAUGGGCAUGGUGUGCCAAAGCCUACAGCUAAUGGGGAAAUUUGGGUAUUCAACAAGGUCUGGUCUUGCUAGCUUUUCUGUUAUCUACGAUGUUCUUCUUCCUUUUCCUCUUUUACCGCGUCCUGACUGAUCCUGUAUUUGAGCAGAGUUAUACGCAGUACAUUCCAUUGCCAAUCAGUGAUCUUGAUUCCUGGUUGAAGACACCGUCCAUCUAUGUUUUUGACUGCUCUGCUGCUAGGAUGAUUCUUAAUGCGUUUGCUGAGGUAAAGGAAAUAACCACUUUCCUCAAGUUACACAUCCUUCUGUCAAGUUUAAGACUUGAUUCUGCAAUGGGCGUUCCAUAAAUUGAUGAAAUUCAUUUGUUCCUUUUGACAGCUUCAUGAUUGGGGUUCGUCUGGUUCCUCUGGAUCCACAAGGGAUUGUAUUCUACUUGCUGCUUGUGACGUACAUGAGACACUUCCUCAGAGCGUUGAAUUUCCAGCUGAUGUUUUUACUGCUUGCCUCACGACACCCAUUAAAAUGGCGUUAAAAUGGUAAGUCCUAUAUUCACCUCUGAUUGUUUUUGCGUACUCAGAUGUCAUGUUUUCCUCCUACAGUACGUUCUUGUAGUUCCAUCAAGCUACUUUAUAUAAUCUUAGUUAGCAUUUUUUUUGCGGUUUGAUUUAUGCCCGUUUAGAAUUGCUAGUUCAGUUUACCUGCAAUUCUUACAAGAAGCGUUCCAUUGCAGGUUCUGCAGGCGUUCUCUUCUAAAAGAAAUAAUCGAUGAAUCACUUAUUGACAGAAUUCCCGGCCGCCAAAAUGACCGUAAGACAUUGUUAGGGGAGUUGAAUUGGAUCUUCACAGCAGUGACGGAUACAAUUGCAUGGAAUGUGCUUCCUCAUGGUAUUGCUCCAAACUUUUCACAUGAUGUAUUAGCGCCAAAUCUCUUAAUGACUUGUUUGCAUUUCUGUAUUCCUCAUGAAUGUUACUUUUACCCUGCAGAACUUUUCCAGAGAUUAUUCAGACAGGAUUUGUUGGUCGCUAGCCUUUUCCGAAAUUUCUUACUUGCUGAGAGAAUAAUGCGGUCCGCAAAUUGUAAUCCAAUAUCUCACCCUAUGCUACCUCCUACGCAUCAACAUCAUAUGUGGUAUUCAAGAAGAUCCUUAUUUUUCUGUUAGAUAAAAUGUUAUGUGUCUUGAUUUCUCUCAGCUAGUUGUUGCAUGCUUUUCAGGGAUGCAUGGGAUAUGGCUGCUGAAAUCUGCCUUUCGCACCUUCCCCAACUUGUUCUGGACCCAAACGCAGAGUUCCAGCCAAGUCCAUUUUUUACUGAGCAAUUAACAGCUUUUGAGGUGUGGCUUGAUCAUGGAUCUGAGCAUAAGAAGCCACCGGAGCAAUUGCCUGUUGUUCUUCAGGUGCAACCUAAAUUUCUAUAUUCAUUUCUAUUUAUAUUUUCGUCUGCGAGGGAGAGAAAACCAUAUUUAUUUAUCAUUUUCGCAUGGGGUUUCGUGUGGAUUUUACUUAAAGGAAUAUUAUUUGGCUCCCUUCUGGAGGUUCCAUCAUAGAACUGUUUGCAUAUUUCUUUCGUAGCGUAUUUAUAGACUCUGGUUUUCUUCAGGUGUUACUUAGCCAAUGCCAUCGGUUUCGUGCUCUUGUACUUCUUGGAAGAUUUCUUGAUAUGGGUUCAUGGGCCGUGGAUCUGGUAUUGCUUUAAACUUGAACCCCCUUUCCCUUUGGCUUACACAUAGUUUCUUCAGGUUAUAUGUCUUUAACUUGAAUUGAAUAUUCUUCUAGGCUUUGUCUGUUGGAAUAUUCCCAUAUGUGCUGAAGCUUCUGCAAACAACAACAAAUGAGCUAAGACAGAUCCUUGUUUUCAUAUGGACAAAAAUUCUGGCACUUGAUAAGGUAAUUUCGUCUUUUGUGUUCCAUGAGCUAACGAUGGUAGUUUUUCAUGCAUCUGCUUGUUGUUUUACAAAUUUGGGCUAGUUCCUAUGGUGACUCUUCUUGUGCAUCUAUUGAGAGUGACUUUAAUGGAACUCUUAUGUUUUCCAUCUCGUUAUUUUGAGAUGAAUGCUAAAUGGCACAAAUCUACCAUCUAAUAUAUUCUGAAUAUUAUAUAAUUAAUAUCAUAUCUAUGGACAUCAAAUUAAUCUCCGGCCACCGCACUUUCGUGCUGCUUAAGCCUUCUCGUCUCAGUCUUUGAAUUAUUAACAUUGACUGGUUUCUCUUUGUUUCAGUCAUGUCAAAUUGACCUUGUGAAGGAUGGGGGGCAUACAUAUUUCAUAAGAUUUCUAGAUAGCUCGGGUGCAUUUCCAGAACAACGAGCUAUGGCUGCUUUUGUUCUGGCUGUCAUAGUGGACGGACACCGACGAGGCCAGGAAGCAUGUCUUGAAGCAAAUUUGAUUGGUGUUUGUCUGGGGCACCUUGAAGCAUCGAUACCAAGUGAUCCACAGCCAGAACCAUUGUUUUUACAAUGGCUUUGUCUUUGUCUUGGAAAGUUGUGGGAAGAUUUUAUGGAGGCCCAAAUAAUGGGCAGGGAGGCAAAUGCUUUUCAAAAAUUGGCACCUCUGGUUUCCGAGCCCCA
Molecule: long non-coding RNA, 5405 nt
Filed under: Brassica napus (rape)
Lineage: Eukaryota; Viridiplantae; Streptophyta; Magnoliopsida; Brassicales; Brassicaceae
Description: long non-coding RNA (BNAP_LNC002485)
Source: RNAcentral